GACGAACGCUGGCGGCGUGCUUAACACAUGCAAGUCGAACGAAGAGCGAUGGACGCUUGCUUCUAUCAAUCUUAGUGGCGAACGGGUGAGUAACGCGUAAUCAACCUGCCCUUCAGAGGGGGACCACAGUUGGAAACGGCUUCUAAUACCGCAUACGAUCUAAUCUCGGCAUCGAGGAUAGAUGAAAGGUGGCCUCUACAUGUAAGCUAUCACUGACGGAGGGGAUUGCGGCUGAUUAGCUAGCUGGAUAGGAAACGGACUACCCAGGCGAUGCUCACGUGCCGGUCCGAAGGGAGUGACGGCCACAUCUGGACUGGGGCCCGGCUCAGACUCCUUCGGGAAGCAGCAAGGGGGGAUCUUCCGGAAUGGACGAAAGUCUUACGGGGCAACGCCGCGUGAGGUAUGACGGCCUUCGGGUUGUAAAGCUCUGUUAAUCGGGGCGAAAGGACUUCUUGCGAAAAGUUAGAAGGAUUGACGGUACCGGAAUAGAAAGCCACGGCUAACUACGUG
This 510-nucleotide ribosomal RNA is filed under the name uncultured bacterium. RNAcentral's name for it is "partial 16S ribosomal RNA". It matches the Rfam family "Bacterial small subunit ribosomal RNA", at positions 28 to 507 of the family's 1533-position model. The record is from RNAcentral.